GUGUCAGCAGAGACCACACACCCCGAAUUCCUGGACUGGGUCUGGUGUUUUCCUUCCCCCAGUAUUUCAGACGCAUUCUUCUCAUUUGAAAGCCGUGUGUCUUACUCAACCACCUCUCUAUCUAAACUAUGUUAAAGACACAUAGAAAAGAGAUGACAUCACGGGGCCGCUUCUGUUCUUGCAGCCCCGUCUGUGUUCAGCUAAAGUGGAGCGGCCCUAGUGAGUCAUGCCGUCUUGUGACCAGCCGGGCACUUUUCCAAUCCAAGCGACUGUUAAGAUCUCUGACAGCAGAACCUGUCCUUGUUUGAAGAGCAGAUACCAACGGUGAGCUGUGCGCUUGGUGAUCCAGGCUCCUGUGAGUCACCGCAUGCGUUCCCAUCCCACAACAAAACGCCAGCCGUGAGGUAGCACUUAGUAAAGCUGACUCACUUCCUCAUUUGCAGAUGAAAGGGAUUGUCCCAGAAAUGACAGUCUCACAGGCACGUUUUGCUGGUGAGGCUGUGGCUCUUGCCCUGGACACCUGAGUGGAACGUCAUGGGCGAGGGGUGGAUACCCCUCCGUAUGGACGGAUGGCCCGGUUCCGUGGGGCGGUGGGACUUCCAGCCAAGUCACGUCGGCUUGAACUGACUGGUGGGGGUCGGGGGAGAGGCUGCCAUCAUGGGAAACCUGGCAACUGCCUCUCCCCAACCCGACGGUCUGUAAUCUCCUGGGCUUUGCAAUCAGGCCGCCUUUACAAACGCAUUUCUCAAAGCCAGAGCCAGCUUGUUUGCCCGGAGGAAAGAAUUCACUGAACAGCCACAGACUGCAUUCCAGAACGUUAGCCAACCACUUUGCAAAAGUGUCCCGUUGGGUCAGGGCACGGCCUGCCGCCACUCCUGGCAAAGAGACUCCAAAUGCCUGCCCGUGGGACAGAGGUCUCAUUGCAGGAUGUCAGUUCAGGCACUCAUGGGAAGACGUCACUGGAGCACAAGGCGAUGACGGUGUUGCUAAGAUGUCUGAGAGAAAAUGGCAAAGCAGAGCCCAGAGAGGUUGGUGCAGGCUCCCCGGGUCCCUCGGAAGUGGGGCUGGGCCUCAGAGGAUGUACGUGAGCUGCCGGCCGAGGUGUGUGUCCCCCCUGGCUUAUCCGCCGAAGGGGCUGAACGGAGGGGGAGCGAGGGCCUCCUCCUGGUGCCUGGAAGCCCAGCGCGGCCAGACUUGGGGAUGGAGCCUCCAAGGAGGUGGCGGAGGUUGAAUGAGGUCAUGGGAGGGAUCCCGCAUCUGAUAGGGUUGAGGCCUCACAAGGAGAGAACCCCAUUCUCUCUCUGCUGUCUCCAUCUCUCUUCCUCAUGAGGACACAGUGAGAAGCCAGCCGUCCACAGACCAGGAAAGACCUCUCACCGGAACUUGCCCGUGCCAGCUCCCUGAUCUUGAUGCCCAGCCUCCAGAACUAUGAGAAAUAAAAUCCUGCUGUUUGGGAGUUCCCGUUGUGGCUCAGGGGUCAUGAACCCAACUAGUAUCCAUGAGGAAGCAGGUUCCAUCCCUGGCCUUGCUUGGUGGGUUAAGGAUCCAGUGUGGCCGUGAGCUGCAGUGCAAGGUGCGAACGCGGCUUGGAGCUCGUGUUACUGUGGCUGCGGUGUGGGCUGGCAGCUGCAGCUCUGAUUCAACCCCUAACCUGGGAACUUCCACAUGCCGGGGGUGGCACCCUAAAAAGCAAAAUCAAAUCAAAUCAAAUCAAAUCAAAAUAAAGUCCUGCUGUUCAA
RNAcentral lists this long non-coding RNA (1739 nucleotides) under Sus scrofa (pig). Its description in RNAcentral is "lncRNA (ENSSSCG00025022611.1)". The record is from RNAcentral. Lineage: Eukaryota; Metazoa; Chordata; Mammalia; Artiodactyla; Suidae.